Molecule: non-coding RNA, 76 nt
Organism: Arabis alpina (gray rockcress)
Lineage: Eukaryota; Viridiplantae; Streptophyta; Magnoliopsida; Brassicales; Brassicaceae
Source: Rfam
UGCCUAUGAUGUUUGAGAUUGUCCGUACCAUCUGAGUUACUCGUUGAUGAGUCGUAUGCUCUAUUGUCUGAGGCUU